Oncorhynchus keta (chum salmon) is the source of this 541-nucleotide long non-coding RNA. RefSeq lists it as uncharacterized. The transcript has 3 exons. Lineage: Eukaryota; Metazoa; Chordata; Actinopteri; Salmoniformes; Salmonidae. The record is from RefSeq and is a predicted model, not a curated record.
AUCUCUGUACCCCACACAUACAAUUAUCUGUAAGGUCCCUCAUCUCUGUACCCCACACAUACAAUUAUCUGUAAGGUCCCUCAUCUCUGUACCCCACACAUACAAUUAUCUGUAAGGUCCCUCAUCUCUCUACCCCACACAUACAAUUAUCUGUAAGGUCCCUCAUCUCUGUACCCCACACAUACAAUUAUCUGUAAGGUCCCUCAUCUCUGUACCCCACACAUACAAUUAUCUGUAAGGUCCCUCAUCUCUGUACCCCACACAUACAAUUAUCUGUAAGGUCCCUCAUCUCUGUACCCCACACAUACAAUUAUCUGUUAGGUCCCUCAUCUCUGUACCCCACACAUACAAUUAUCUGUAAGGUCCCUCAUCUCUGUACCCCACACAUACAAUUAUCUGUAAGGUCCCUCAUCUCUGUACCCCACACAUACAAUUAUCUGUAAGGUCCCUCAUCUCUGUACCCCACACAUACAAUUAUCUGUAAGGUCCCUCAUCUCUGUACCCCACGGAUACAAUUAUCUGUAAGGUCCCUCAUCUCUGU